GCGUGUUGGCGCUGAAUCAACCUCAUUGAUUAUGGAUUGAUUUUCUUCUGGAAGUAGAUCUAGUAGGUCUAGAUAAAUGUUCCUCAUAGGAAUAUGACUCCUAAGUAUGGCAAGCUCCAGGUGGCUUCAAUGCUGCCUUUGAAUCUCCGGAGACCCGGCGGGGACGACUCUUAACUGAAGAGAAGAGACUACUGCUGACUCCCUCCCAGAGCUUCAGCUUCGAGAGAAGAAAAAUCCCAAAGACAUUCUCCUCAGGCUGCCUCUCUUGGUCGCAGUUGCCCCUGAAGCCAGAGAGCACACAGCUUGGACACCGCUGACCGCAGAGGGAAGGAAGCUUGAGUCCUUAGACCUUUUUGGAUGUCAAGUGGAGAGGUGAUUUAUAGGAGCAGCAGUGAAACUGCCGGGAGGCUGUGGCACAUGCAGCUCUCCAGCUCUUCUUUGAGACUCUCAAAUAGAGAAGAAAGCAACUGACAUGUUCAUUCACAUGAUUUUCCCAUGGAACCCAAGAAGGAGACAAAGGACAAAGCCAACUGGUGACAAGGCUGUUCAGGGCCUGCUGCAACCUUCAAGGGUAAUGCCUGGAGUCGAGGGGUCCCAGACUUGAGGGACGUCAGCAGUGGGCCAUGGCCAUGCUGCCCAACUGCAGACUUGAGCCUCCUGGAUGCACUUGGGCUCCCCGGCACAUGUGUCAGGGAGGAAGAGCUUGUCUAUAUCCAGGGCACACACAAACACAUUGGUUUAUCUACAGAACUAAUGAAUUCUGCCAAUGUGAUCAUCAGGAGGAAUGGAGGAGUCAACCAGAGCUGAUUCUUUCAAGAGUGCAAGUGGCCUGUGGCUUUCUGGGAGGCACCCGACAUUCACCUCAGAAUUAUCUGUGGCAAGGCGGUUUCUGAUUUCCGCGCUUGAUAUGAUCUCUAGAGAAGCCUUUCCUUUUUCUCUGGUUUCCUGGAAGAAGCUGAGCGUACAGACAGAAUGCUGGCAAGAAGGCACGGGGCCGCUGAGAUCAGUGAGUUUUUGUCACAAGUGCAAGUUGAAGAGGCUGUGACAUUUUAGUGAGUCCCCAGCCACAUCUUGAGGAAAAAGGGAGUGUCCCAGCCCACAGGUCCCUGCUGGGGAUGGGGCUCCAAACGUCUGACAAAGUUUGCCUCUGAACUACUGUUCCCUCCUUUUGAAAGCCAUUUGUUUUCAGCUCCUCUAAGAGGCCCUGUGUGAAGCAUCUGUUUUAACUCAAGAGUGUUCUCCUCAAUUUCCUGGGGAACAUGAAUAAGACACUUCUAUUUCUAGAUCCGAGGUCAAGAGUAGCAAAGGCUCUCAUCUCUGUGGGGAGAGCUUUGCUCCUGGCAGUGGCUCCUCUCCUGCGGGGGUCUUCAGGCUUCUACUGCCAGGAAAGUCAGUCUCUUGUGUGACUUGCGAACAAGGUAACAACAAAACCUGGAAGAGGCUCCCUUACUUGUGGUGUGGGUCGGCCUUACCCACCACCUCCUGGACAAGAAAUCGGUGGGCAAAGGGGGACUGCUUCUCGGUGCCUGUGUAGGAGGCUUCUAUGCCAAAGUUGGAAAGACCCUUUAGAAAACCGAGAUGGAUUGAGGGAGCGCUGGUUUUCACUGGCUCUCGGAUUUCCUCCCCUGUGUUUGCUGAUCUCUGCUAGGAGGGAGCAGGGUCGGGGUGUUGUGGCAGAUGCCCUUUGUUGCUGAACCAAGUGUUUCCCAGCCUCCUUCCUCCUUCUUUCCGGCUGAGAACGUCACACUCAAGACAGAGGCAGCUGCAAAUGCCACCUCACUUUCCGGGCCUCCUCAAAGUGGCGAAGUGCACUUUGAACCCAAUGUUGACUAAGGAACCAGCAAGGGAAGCCUUCUAGAGAACUACUGGGGAGGAUUUUCUCUCUGACAACAAGAGAAACAUGAAGAGAGGCUGUCCUCCCUUCCUUCUGGUGGGCUGGUGUGAGGCCCAGUGGUCCCAGCCAUCCGGCCACCUUGAGGGGACCAGAUGACUCUGAGGAUGGCAGGUGCCUGACAACUUCAUCAUGCAGAACUGACCAAGCCUCGAACUUCCUGCUUCUGGACAGAUUGACCUGUGAGGUAAUAAAUGUCCUUAUUGUUUAAGCUGUUUCAGUUGAAAUAUUCCGUGCUCGUAGCCAAAAGCAACCUACGUGAUAAAUGCAGGAAACAGGCUUCCCACAUAGGAGAUUAACACCCAGGGGAGAUAGGAAAUGCACCCAUCAGGCAUCUGAGGAGCAUUUACCAACCCAUGCUGUCCCCAUAAUUUACAGCUGGACCUUAUUUUAGAAAAGAGAUGCAUUUAUAGAAACAGUGUAUGAUACAAAUUAUAAUUCUCCAUUAAUUUCAUAAAUGUUUCUGAGAAGGGAUUUCUACAUUCUUAAUUGGUCUUCAAAUAACACUAGCUCCUAACACUUUGGAGUUUCUUUCUUACGGUUUGACAAGUGGUAAAUAUCUGGAAAUCCCUACCAUUGAAGUAAAAUUAUUUUGUAAACGAGGUAUCCUUUUUAUCAAAUUAGUAUUCACACUUUAAUUUUUCCUUCUGGUAAUUUCAGAUUUUGGAAAUAGGGGUCCCCAGGAGAGCCUCACCUGAUUCUAUGCUCUGUGAGCAUGUCUAUUAUUCUCAAAGAUCAGACAAGGGCAAAGCACGGACUUGUGGCCACACCUUAUUCCAAGUGUUUGUUGUAGCCUUAGCUGUGACUGGUGUAAUGGGAUGAUAACAUGGUGCUUGUGGCUGAAACUCCUGGAUAAUACAUCAUUCAAAGGAAGUGGGAGAUUAUUGGCAGAAUUUACCAUGGAGCUGUCCACAUCCCAUCACAUGCAUCUCAAACCCCUCAUCCUUAGUGUGGAUCUCAAAGGCCUUAAAAUUGAAAAUCAGGAAGUGGAUUUUCAGAGAGAGUCCUGGUGAGUCCCAUAGAGGACUGGUUCACCUCUUCCACCUCUCUCCUGUUCAGAAGCCUGUUCCCAGAUUCUCUUGUUUGCAGAGUGCUGAGUAUGGUUUAAUUCUGCCAACAAGUGCCUUGAAGCUAGAUUUGGAAGCCGGAGUGGAGGCUGAGCCAUUCUUCCUCUUCCAGGAUGGUGGCAGGCUGUACAGGAAGCAUGGUGCCAGUAUCUGCUCAGCUUCUGGUGAGGCCUCAAGGAGCAUAUACUCAUGGCAGAAGAAGAAGCGGGAGAAGGCACAUCAUAUGAGCUUGGAAGGGACCUUUAGAAACCAUUUUCGGCACCACAGGCCUCUCCAGCAGGAACUGACUCCAGAUGGGCCAAUCAGCCUCGGAAAGAGAACAAGUGUGCUGCGGAAUAGAUGCCACAUCCAGAAAAGCGGGAGAGAAGGAUGUCGUGCCUGGUGACAUUUGCUCUCCAGGAAGGUUUGAUGAACUUUCGCUGGGCAUAGACUGAAUUAGCUAAAGGGUUGGAAAUUUGGGGGCUUUUGGUUCUUGUUGAGUUCCCUGGGGAGUUGAGCUUGGGAAAGUUGGACAUGGAGGUGGAGGUUUCAUGAUGGAACUGUUUAGGAAACUUUUUAAAAACUCACAUCCUCCCCAUCCCCCAUCAGUGUAUCUCAGAACCUUCACUGUGGGGAGCGUGUGCUGUGCAAAACCUUCCAGGUGAUUCUAUACACUUCCUUGCCUCUGGCCAAGAAGCACAGGCCUAGGCCAAGGACAGAGAGUAGGCAGCCUGCACUAAUGACAUCACAGCACAGCCCUGCCUGAUAAACCAGAACAUGGGAAAAGGAGACCCCAUAUUUGUGUCCUUUACAGUUGACCCAUUCUUUUCACAGAUGUCCCUUCAUUUGCUGUCCAAGUUUACACUCAGGUAGUCAGGGCUGGCCUAUCUCCAUUUUGCAAAUGGGAAAGUUGAGGCCCCGCUAGGACGAGUGCAUGCUGUGAAAAGGAAGAACCAAAGGAGGAAUCCAGCUCUUCUGAGCCAAAUGGCGGUGGUCUCAGUCCUGGGUAUACUGAGGGUGUGACCAGUGGCACUGUGGCCAUUGUCCAAGUGGAGGUGGGGAGACUUUAACAUGUGCUUAAAAAAGCAUUUCUUCAGCUCCUUUGUCAAACUCCCAUGAAAAGCCCCUCGUUUCUUUGAUGUCAUUGGAGCUGAGCUGUCAUAGUUCUCUUACAAUCGUUUCUGAGCAGGUAGCCUCCAACCGUCGUGGAGCGAGCGGAGCUUCUCAACUUUCCUGGCAAGGGCUGAGUGGUGAGAUGGAUGUUCACACACAUUGUUCUUUGGUUUGAUUGUAGCCCAGAAGUCUAGUAGGAAUAAUUAAAGCUAGCUCCCAACUGGGGAUCAGGCACAGAUGAUGGACUGGGUUCCCCAAGCUGGAUGACUUGGAAGAGGAGGUGGCAGUGAGUGGGGCAAAGAUCUGGUGAGUGGAGCAGUCUAGGCACCAAGGUCUGGUGCUCAAGGGAACCACAUUCCAGGUAUGGUGGGAGGCUGGCCCGACCAUCCUUACUCUGCCCUCUCAUGGUGCCUGGAGCCAGGAAGGUGAGAGCUGUCCCUCAUUACCCAAUAUUCCUUCUGAAGGAGGUGGUCAUGAGAAGGGGACAGAACUUUUCUGCAGGCCAGAGGUCGGGCAGGAAGUGGUGAGGUUGGCAGACUGGAGGCAGUCUGAAAUCGCCUGGUCACUGGGCACACAUGGGCCUGGUUAGACUCCCAUGGGCAUCUGAGUAUGGGAGUUUUGGACAGGAGAUAAAGGCAGCAGCUUUCUUAUCUGUGAGCCCUCUCUACUCUCCUGCCCACCUUGCCUGGGGCUUCUAGAUGCAGUGACUCGAUUGUACACCACCUGAGAAAACACUGGAAUCUCUGCUAAUCAAACAGCGAUGUUGGUCAGUGCUAUAGAUAUGACUUUGAUAGACACCAGUGUGAAGCCUGCAUGCAUCUGCAUUACAUUCCUUUGGGAAGGAUUUGUUGCAGGUUUUCAGGCCAUUUCUGUUGGUGGGACCUUAUUUGUCUCCAUAGGCUGAUGAAGCCUGGGGAGAAUGGGGGCUGCAGACAAGGAAGCUGGUGCCCUGCUUGGGAGGUGAUUUGCUGAAGCCCACGGUAGUGAACGUUAGGGUGCACCCUUCAGAUGCUCCACCCAGGACUGAGGCUCUCAUCUCCCAGUCACUGGGAAUGUUGCCUCCUGGCUGGCUCGCAUCUGAGUCCUUUCUGGGAAUUGCCCUCAGUCAAAGAGAGCCCAGCCAAGAGCAUGUUCCCUUCCUGGAAUAGCCAGACUCAUUCACCCAACAAAGAUGUUGGGCCAAGAACACUGCCCAAUAACCUGCUAAGCUCUAUCUAAGAGCCUAUUUCCCAGGAGCCUGAGCUAUGCAGCUCCCAGCCUGUGGGCUUUGCCUCACUGCAUGCUUCCUGCAUAGGAGGAGAGACAGUGAACAGAGCCGAGCCCUACUGCCAACCUCCGGACCCUUAGAUUUGAGCUGUGCCCUGAGCACUCCUUCAGAGCCUUGGCGAUAUGUGUAAAAAAUGGAAGAAGUCCCUGGAGAGAGUGUGCUGCAGUUACCAGGAGCCUGUUUGCUGUGUAUCCUCAGCCCCCUGCGGUGCUUGUGAAAAAAUGGAGACAGCAGAGUCUAGUCUAACCUGCAGACACUUUGGCUCUUUAUUUACCCAGAUGUCCAGUGGUAUCACAGGAACAAGCCACAGUAGGCCUCACUUCUAGCCAGAGAGCAGGUUUUGCAAAGAUUUGUAUACUGUUCGGCCCUUUGUAGGAGUCAGGGAUCUCUGGAGAAGCAGAGUCAAUGGGAUGCUGAUAGGAGAGGGAGAUUUCCUUUAAGGAGUGGCUUCCGUGAUAGUAGAGGCAGCUGGCAAGUCCAGAAUUUGCAGCAUGGGCCUGCAGGCUGGAGGCCCAGGGGAGAGCCGAUGUUGCAGCCGACAAUCGGCUGGGGUUACUCCCUCUUCCCUGGGAGAGGUCAGUCUUUGUUCUCUUAAGGCCUUCAACAGAUUGGAUGAAACUCACCCAGAGGGCAAUCUGCUUUGCUCAGAGACUACUAAUUUAGAUUUUAAUCUCAUUUAAAAACACCUUCAUGGCAACAUCCAGGUGUGUUUAGCCAACUGUCUGAGUGCCGCUAACAUUAACCAUUACAUCCUCCACAAUGUAAAAUCUCCAUUCAUUUCAGUCCUGGGAGACUUCUGUUCUCAUUGCCUUAACAGACCACAUGCUCCAGAGCCGGCACCAUUCUUAACUGGGCAUGAAUGUCGGCCCUCAGGGAUUCUUCUGGGGCCUUACCUUUUCUUGUGCUCGGUGUACAUUCUUUGAUCUAUCACAUUUCUAUUUACCAGGGGCUUGAGAGUUCAUUCUGUGAAGGGCCAGUGAGUAGUGAUUUUGGGAUAUGCAGGCUACAUAUAUCUUCGUUGUAUAUUCUUCUUUGUUUUGGAACUCUUUGAAAAUAUACAAACCAUCUUAGCUUGCUGCCUAUAUUAAAACAGGCCAAGGGCUAGAUUGGCCUACAAGCUGCAAUUUGCCAGCCCUUGAUUUAAACUCUUAAUAUUCCAGGUACAUCUGGAUGCUUGAAAUUCCUGGGCCACUUCACAUCGCUAAGUGCCCUCCUCCAAACUCUUCUGAAGCCUGCUUGUUCCGUAGAAACCUAAAUAACACAGAUGCUGUGAGGACAACUGGAAGAGAAGAGCCUCUCUUUCCAAAGCUCUAAUCACCAAAGUUCCCCCAAAAGAUGUUUCAAAACUUGUUUUGAGAGAAGGAAAGCUGAAGAGCAUGGGGAAGGCAUCUCCAUCACAAAAGCUUUAUGCUGGGAGAACAAAGGGUGAAGAACGUAGACCAUCAGCCUCCUUUGCGCCAUGAUUUUCCAGCACAGUCUCUUCCAAUUCUGUUUCAUGCUUAGGGUCCCCAACAGAGAGUGCUACCCUGAGUGGCCCCCCAGGCUGGGAGAAGGGGAGCAGCCUGACUAUGGCAGCUUCCUCUGGCUGACUAAACACUGUCCUGGAGCUUGGCACCUGGAAAGGUGCCUGUUAGGUGGGCUGGAGCCACAGGCAGCCAGCAAGACCCCCUCAGCCCCACAGAGAGCCUUCCAGGACUGGAGACAUGGAUUAUGAAAGCUAGCUUUUUGGUGUGUAUGUGGAGGGUGAGGGGUGGCAAGGAUGAGGGUUUCUACAAACCGCCAGUGAAUCAACUUAACUGCAUGAUCCUUUAUGAAAACGUGAACUCUUACCCUGGCAGAUGAUAUUUUAGUGUGUGUGGGCUCCUCCCUGAAUGAGAGUUCAAUGAGAAUGGAAAUAGCUCCAUUCGUUGUUCCUCUAGUUUUAUUUGAUCUCUGGUUUUAAAGAACCCCCUUGUCAUCACUUGAACUUUCAUUCUUGGGAUUCCUUUCCUCCCCCUCUGUCCCUCCCUCCCUCUCUCCUUUCUUCCCUCUUUCCUUUCCUUCCUUUCUCCAACAAUGAUAUGGUGAGGCUUUGUGUCCCCACCCAAAUCUCCUCUUGAAUUGUAAUCCCUAUAAUCCCCACAUGCCAAGGGAGAGACCAGGUGGUGGUAACUGAAUCAUGGGGCAGUUGUUUCCCCCAUGCUGUUCUCAUGAUAGUGAGUGAGUUCUCAUGAGAUCUGAUGGUUUUAUAAGGGGCUCUUUUCCCUCUGCUCAGCACUUUUCCUGCUGCCUUGUGAAGAAGGUGCCUUGCUUCCCCUUUGCCUUCUGCCAUGAUUAUAAGUUUCCUGAGGGCUCCCCAGCCAUGCGACACUGAGUCAAUUAAACCUCUUUCCUUUAUAAAUUACCCAGUCUUCAGCAGUUCUUUAUAGCAGUGUGUGAAAAUGGACUAAUACAACCCCUUUCAUUGUCUGUCAUGUACCUGUGAUUGCAGGUAUUGUGAGAUGUAAGGUAUUACACCUAUCCUCAGGUAGCUCAGGGGAGAGCUUCGGUAAAGCAAAUAUGGAAGAAUCUCUGUUCAUUGUGGUCUUCUCUUUCUCACCCAAAGUAUUGUGCCUGUGAUAUUAGUGGGAGAAUGCAAAUGUACCAAGCACUGGAUUAGCUUGGGGACCCCUUCCAGAUGGCAGCUGUUGCUACAGGUGGUGUCUGUCCCCACACCUGCUCCCCUUUGUCCUGAGAGGAUCCACCUUAGGAGCACCAGGCUGUGCAGGCUAAUUGCCCUUCUCCUCACAGGGCCUGGCAGAGCUCGGCAGACAAAGGCUCACCUGCCAAAGAGUCCCCACCCCCUGGCUGAACAUAUGACCAUGUGGCAAAGUCCAACCCUAAAGGGACCUGCCAGAGUGAGGUGCCCCAGAAAACAGGCACCAGGACUGCCAAAUACGAAGGGCAAUAUCUCUCAGAAGUCAGAACAAGAAUAAUUCUCCAAGACCUUUCCAGAAAGUGUAAUCAUAUAUUUCAGAAAAAUGCAUUGUGUGUUUUAUUAGAAGAACACAUAUUUUGUCCUAAGUUUACUUUUAGAUUUGAUUAAAAACAGGUUGUUACAGCUGCUGCUGUUUGAAUCAAUCAGAGGCAAGCCUGUAAACCACUUUUCCCACAGAGACUGUGCCAAGUCUGUUUAGGGUCCCAGAACUGUCCUCUGGGAAACCUGGGGAGUGUAUGAGGACUUCUUUUUUUUUUUUUUUGUAAAUGCCAGCAUUGGACUGAUCAUUCUAGACUUUGUACUUCAUUCCUAAUUAAUGUAAAAAUACGUUUUCCAGAAUCAUUCCAUUUUAUUACUUUUUCUUUUUGAAGGAGAGCAUUUAAACAGGAUUCUCUUAUGGUAAAUCAUUCAGAUCCAUCUAAAGUUCAGGAGAAUAUUAAUAGGUGCUCUGAAAAUCAUAGAGUGUGUCUUCAGAAUUUGCUGCACACAGCGCUAUUUUAAUUUCUGAGUUAAUACAGGUUCUAACUCAUGGUAACAAUGACUUUAUGAAGACAGUCUCUGGAUAACAAAGCUAUUUUCAUCUUUUACUGAAUGGUUCAGAAAUCGUACUGCUUUAAUGUGUUUUUAAUAUACUUUUUAUUUUUUUUG
Molecule: long non-coding RNA, 8921 nt
Organism: Callithrix jacchus (white-tufted-ear marmoset)
Lineage: Eukaryota; Metazoa; Chordata; Mammalia; Primates; Cebidae
Source: RefSeq, a predicted model, not a curated record